CAAGAAAAGCCUCGUGUUAAACACACGUGUGUCUCCUCGCCUGCCGGUUUAAUGCCCAGUCGUGGGGUCCUGGGUUGUGGCCACGAAGUCCUAUUCCUCUGUCGCCAGGGUGAGAAGGUGGCUGUCGGCAGGGAUUUUGGGAUCAGGCAGGUGACUUCUCACGAAGGCUGGUUUCUCAGCCUCACAUCUGCCGACAUCGGGGGCUGGAGGAUUCUCCGUCGUGGGGCGUCCUGUGCCCUGUGGGGUGUCGGGGACAUGUUCUCACUCGGAGGACACAUUGAUUCAAACCAUAGGAUACACAGUUGAUUCAUACAUGUAUGAUUGAUAGGUGAUUGGUUGACAGAUAGUUGAUGGAUAGAUAUUGAUAUAGAUGCAUGAUUAAUAGGUGAUUGACAGAUGAUAGACAUUAAUAUAAAUGUAUGAUUGAUUGGUUGACAGAUGAUAGAUAAUUGAUAUAGAUGCAUGAUUAAUAGGUGAUUGACAGAUAAUUGAUAGGCAUUAAUAUAAAUGUAUGAUUGAUAGAUGAUUGGUUGACAGAUAAUUGAUAUAGACACAUGAUUAAUAGGUGAUUGACAGAUAAUUGAUAGACAUUAAUAGAAAUGUAUGAUUGAUGAUUGGUUGACAGAUGAUUGAUAAUUGAUAUAGAUGCAUGAUUAAUAGAUGGUUGAUAAUUGACAGAUAAUUGGUAUAGAUGCAUGAUUGAUAGAUGAUUUAUUGACAGACAAUUGAUACAUAAGCGAUACAGAUGCAUGAUUGAUAGGGAAUUGAUUGACAGAUGAUUGAUAAUUUAUAUAGAUGUAUGACUGAUCAGUGAUUGGUUGAUAGGUAAUUGAUAUAGAUGCAUGAUUGACAGAUGAUUGGUUGUCAGAUAAUUGACCGAUAGUAAUGGAUAGCUGAUUAAUAGAUAGAUAAUUGAUUAAUCAAUAAUUGAUAGAUGAUAGAUAAAGAAUCUCUCAUGCCCAGGCAGCUUUCUCAGCUCUGGCACUGCUGAUGUUUGGGACUGGAGGACUCUCUGUCUUGGGGCCACCCUGGGUGCUGCAGGGUGCUAACUCUCUUGAUGAGGCCGUCCUGGGUACUGUAGGGUACUGAGUCUCUGUGAUGAAGCCGUCCUGGGCUCUGUAGGGUGUUGAGUCUGAGUCUCUGUGAUGAGGCCGUCCUGGGCCCUGUAGGAUGCUGAGUCUCUGUGAUGAGGCCGUCCUGGACACUGUAGGGUGCUGAGUCUGAGUCUCUGUGAUGAGGCCGUCCUGGGCCCUGUAGGGUGUUAAGUCUCUGUGAUGAGGCCGUCCUGGACACUGUAGGGUGCUGAGUCUCUGUGAUGAGGCCGUCCUGGGCACUGUAGGGUGUUGAGUCUGAGUCUCUGUGAUGAGGCCGUCCUGGGCCCUGUAGGGUGUUGAGUGUCUGUGAUGAGGCCGUCCUGGGAGCUGUAGGGUGUUGACUCUGUGGUGGGGCCGUCCUGGGCGCUGUAGGGUGCUGAGUCUCUGUGAUGAGAGGCCGUCCUGGGCGCUGUAGGGUGUUGAGUCUCUGUGAUGAGGCCGUCCUGGGAGCUGUAGGGUGUUGACUCUGUGGUGGGGCCGUCCUGGGCGCUGUAGGGUGCUGAGGAGCGUCCCUGGGCUCCACCCAGCAGAUGCCAGUUCACCCCCAUGU
RNAcentral lists this long non-coding RNA (1644 nucleotides) under Homo sapiens (human). RNAcentral describes it as "HSALNT0406791". The record is from RNAcentral. Lineage: Eukaryota; Metazoa; Chordata; Mammalia; Primates; Hominidae.